RNAcentral lists this ribosomal RNA (253 nucleotides) under uncultured bacterium. RNAcentral's name for it is "partial 16S ribosomal RNA". It matches the Rfam family "Bacterial small subunit ribosomal RNA", at positions 524 to 776 of the family's 1533-position model. The record is from RNAcentral.
GACGUAGGGGACGAGCGUUGUCCGGAUUUAUUGGGCGUAAAGAGCGCGUAGGCGGCUUGGCAAGUCGGAUGUGAAAUCCCGGGGCUCAACCCCGUGACUGCACCCGAAACUGCCCGACUAGAGGUAGGUAGGGGAGAUCGGAAUUCCUGGUGUAGCGGUGAAAUGCGCAGAUAUCAGGAGGAACACCGGUGGCGAAGGCGGUUUUCUGGACAGUAACUGACGCUGAGGCGCGAAAGCUAGGGGAGCAAACAGG